AUGGAAAACGAAAUAUAUGUUAAAAAUAAAAUGGCACAAAACAUACUGAUGAAUAAAGAACUAAACAUAUACAAUCCUAAUAUAAAUUUUAUAAAUUGUAUAAAUAAUAAUAAUAGAUAUAUUAUAAGCAAAAAUAUACAUCAAUCAAAAGGAGAGGAUAAUUUAUAUGAUCAUGUACAGGCAAAAGAUGAUGGAGGAAUAUAUUUGAUGGAGGUUAAUAAUAAUAGUAGUAGUAGUAAUGCUAGUGGUAAUAAUGCUAGUGGUAAUAAUGCUAGUGGUAAUAAUAGUAGUGGUAAUAAUGCUAGUGGUAAUAAUAGUAGUGGUAAUAAUAGUAGUGGUAAUAUUAGUAGUGGUAAUAUUAGUAGUGGUAAUAAUGUUAGUGGUAAUAAUAGUAAAGAAGACACCAAACAUAAUGACAGGGAUGCGACAAAACCGUUGUUAGUGACAACUGCAUCAACGGAUUCGUAUUUAUUACAAUCGUCGCUACCUACAAAAUAUAACAAUAACAGUUCGUCAGUAGUACCUAUAAAUAACAACAUAAACAAUAGUAGUAAUAACAAAAUUGAUGGUACAAAUAUACAACAUAGUUCGGUGUUAUACAAUGAAAAAAACGAGCGAAAUGAAAAAAACGAACGAAGUGAAAAAAACGAACGAAAUGAAAAAAACGAACGAAAUGAAAAAAACGAACGAAAUGAAACUCGCCAUAAUAGUACUUAUAAAAAUAGUAAAAGCCUGAAUGUAACAAAAAAAAACACAAAUGAAAACAAAAAUGUAAUAAAUCAAAAUUUAAUUAUUGAAAAAUUAUUAACAAGAGGAUUUAAAACAUAUACACUAAAAGAUUUUAUGAAUGUAAAAUUAACUGACAAUUUAAAAGAAAUAUUAAAUAUAUAUACAGAAAAUAUAUAUUUUAAUUUAAAAAUGGCAAAGGAACAAAAUGAAAAGAAACAACGGAUAAAAAGAAAAAAAAGAAAAAUACAAAAAAAAAAAAAUAUAUAUAUUCUUAUAUUGAAAAAACUUAGAUGGAUAACAAAUAAUGUAUAUCACUACUGUUGUUAUUACAACAAUAAGAGUCAUUUUGGUCGGUAUAAUUUUAACCGUAUUAAUCAGGUGUACAAUGUGAGUGAAAAACAAAGUAGUGGUGACGGUGGUGCUUUUGAUUUUAUGAAGAAAUACUUAUUCAGCACGGUUAAAGAUAAUAAAGCAGAAGUAAACCAGUCAAAAAGACUGAACAAGUCGAACAUGUCGAAUAUGUCGAAUAUGUCUAAUAUGUCUAAUAUAUCUAAUAUGUCUAAUAUGUCUAAUAUGUCUAAUAUGUCUAAUAUGUCUAAUAUGUCGAAUAUGUCGAACAAAUUAAAAAAAAUAACAAAAAUAGAAAAGCUAAAAAAAAUAGAAAAGUUAAAAAAAAUGGGAAAGUUAAAUGCUGUGAAAAAUGUAAAGAAGUUGAUCGACAAAACUGUGCAGCACUCUAACAAUUUAAAAAAAAAAAGAAUAAAACAGAAAAUGAAUAACAUAGAGGAAUGUAAAAAAAAUAUACUAAAUAAACAAAUGCAAAACGAAUGUAAAGAUAAUACCAUAUAUGAACCACUUUUUUCACUCACGUCAGUUGAUUCGGCUAUAUUAGGUGAUAAAACUUAUGCUGGUUUUGUUACAAACAGUGAUACGAGUUUAAAAAAAAACCGGGAGCAAAUACAUAACAAUGAUGCAGAUCGGGAGAAUUUAGACGAACUAGGUAUAUACAACCAGACAAACACAUUUUCAGAUAGUGACAAAAAGAAUGAAAACACUGAACUGGUUGAUGUAAAAUAUAUAGAUAAAAAAAAAAAAUAUAUUACUCAUAAACAUUCUACUCGUUUUCUUUAUUAUCAAAGUAAAUUUAUGCAAAAUGACUUUUGCAAGUAUAGGAAUUUAAAAAGCAAACAAAGUAGUACAAAUAUGGAUCUUCAAGAAAAAGUAAGAAAAACGAUUGAAAGAUAUCUUGAACACGUUCAUACACAUGUAAAAUUAUCAAAUUUAUUUAAUUUAUCAACUUGUAGAUUACAAAAACAGAGGUAUAUUGAACAAGCAAGAAACAUGAUGAGAAAAUGUUUAACAGACACAAAUAUACAACCUAAACUUAGUUCUACUAUAACGAAUAUGGCCACUAUAACCAAUACGAGAGUAACAAAAAAAGAAAGAAAAAAACAAAAAAAAAAAAAAAACAAAAAAGUUGCAAAAUAUCGAACAAGUGCAAUUAUUGAUUUUGGUGAUAAAAUUGUAUGGGUUUCGUUCGAAUUUAAAAAUUUGAAUAUGUUAAAAAAAAUAGAAAAUAAUAUUUUAGCACCCACUGAACUUAAUGGUAUAUUUUCACCAAAUUUUCCAAAAGAAAAAAUAGAAAUGUUAAUGACAACAGAUAUGAAUGUAUAUAAAUAUUUAAGAAUAACUGCUUUUAAAUUAUUAUCAUAUUAUGAAUUUGUAUUUUUAAAAAAUAGAUUAAAAUAUAUUAAAAUAGAAUAUGAACAAGAUAAAAAUAGAAACAGUAUAUCUACUAAUAGUAAUACUCAUUUUAAAGGAACUAUUUUUUCUCAAACUGUUGAUUUCUCUUUUAUAAACAAUGACAUAAUAACAUCUCCUUUAAAUCGUGCUGAUAAUAGUGAUAAUAAUAACGAGUUAAUUGAUAAUAAACAAAAAAAUGUGAAUAAUAAAAGUGGGUUAUUGUCAACAACAGUGGCUACAGAAGAAGGGUUUAAUAUUGCGCUAGAGGAAAGUAACAGUAGUACACCUUGUAACGAUAGUAGUAAUAACAUGGAUGNNNNNNNNNNGUGGUAGAAAUAAAAUGGAUAGUGGUAGAAAUAAAAUGGAUAGU
Molecule: long non-coding RNA, 2842 nt
Filed under: Piliocolobus tephrosceles (Ugandan red Colobus)
Lineage: Eukaryota; Metazoa; Chordata; Mammalia; Primates; Cercopithecidae
Description: lncRNA (ENSPTEG00000010774.1)
Source: RNAcentral